This 446-nucleotide ribosomal RNA is filed under the name uncultured bacterium. Its description in RNAcentral is "bacterial SSU rRNA". It matches the Rfam family "Bacterial small subunit ribosomal RNA", at positions 329 to 793 of the family's 1533-position model. The record is from RNAcentral.
CGCCAGACCCUACGGGAGGCAGCAGUGGGGAAUAUUGCACAAUGGGGGAAACCCUGAUGCAGCGACGCCGCGUGAGUGAAGAAGUAUUUCGGUAUGUAAAGCUCUAUCAGCAGGGAAGAAAAUGACGGUACCUGAUUAAGAAGCCCCGGCUAACUACGUGCCGGCAGCCGCGGUAAUACGUAGGGGGCAAGCGUUAUCCGGAUUUACUGGGUGUAAAGGGAGCGUAGACGGUGAUGCAAGUCAGAAGUGAAAGCCCGGGGCUCAACUCCGGGACUGCUUUUGAAACUGUGUGACUGGAGUGCAGGAGAGGUAAGCGGAAUUCCUGGUGUAGCGGUGAAAUGCGUAGAUAUCAGGAGGAACACCAGUGGCGAAGGCGGCCUGCUGGACAGAAACUGACGUUGAGGCUCGAAAGCGUGGGGAGCAAACAGGAUUAGAUACCCGUGUAU